Molecule: ribosomal RNA, 240 nt
Filed under: uncultured bacterium
Lineage: Bacteria
Description: partial 16S ribosomal RNA
Rfam family: Bacterial small subunit ribosomal RNA
Source: RNAcentral
GAUCCUGGCUCAGGAUGAACGCUAGCGACAGGCCUAACACAUGCAAGUCGAGGGGCAGCGGAGAGGUAGCAAUACCUUUGCCGGCGACCGGCGCACGGGUGAGUAACACGUAUGCAAUCCACCUGUAACAGGGGGAUAACCCGGAGAAAUCCGGACUAAUACCCCAUAAUAUGGGCGCUCCGCAUGGGGAGUCCAUUAAAGAGAGCAAUCUUGGUUACAGACGAGCAUGCGCUCCAUUAG